CCGGGCUACACGCGAGCUACAAUGGGCGAUACAGAGGGAAGCAAAGGCCGCAAGGUAGAGCUAAUCCCUAAAGUCGUCCUCAGUUCGGAUUGCAGGCUGCAACUCGCCUGCAUGAAGUCGGAAUCGCUAGUAAUCGCGGAUCAGCUACGCCGCGGUGAAUACGUUCUCGGGCCUU
RNAcentral lists this ribosomal RNA (175 nucleotides) under uncultured Aminicenantes bacterium. Its description in RNAcentral is "partial 16S ribosomal RNA". It matches the Rfam family "Bacterial small subunit ribosomal RNA", at positions 1209 to 1382 of the family's 1533-position model. The record is from RNAcentral. Lineage: Bacteria; Candidatus Aminicenantota.